UUCCGGUUGAUCCUGCCGGAGGCCACUGCUAUCGGGGUCCGACUAAGCCAUGCGAGUCAAGGGGGUGUCCCUCUGGGACACCACCGGCGGACGGCUCAGUAACACGUCGGUAACCUACCCUCGGGAGGGGGAUAACCCCGGGAAACUGGGGCUAAUCCCCCAUAGGCCUGAGGUACUGGAAGGUCCUCAGGCCGAAAGGGGCUCUGCCCGCCCGAGGAUGGGCCGGCGGCCGAUUAGGUAGUUGGUGGGGUAACGGCCCACCAAGCCGAAGAUCGGUACGGGCUGUGAGAGCAGGAGCCCGGAGAUGGACACUGAGACACGGGUCCAGGCCCUACGGGGCGCAGCAGGCGCGAAACCUCCGCAAUGCGGGAAACCGCGACGGGGGGACCCCGAGUGCCGUGGCAUCGCCACGGCUUUUCCGGAGUGUAAAAAGCUCCGGGAAUAAGGGCUGGGCAAGGCCGGUGGCAGCCGCCGCGGUAAUACCGGCGGCCCGAGUGGUGGCCGCUAUUAUUGGGCCUAAAGCGUCCGUAGCCGGGCCCGUAAGUCCCUGGCGAAAUCCCACGGCUCAACCGUGGGGCUUGCUGGGGAUACUGCGGGCCUUGGGACCGGGAGAGGCGGGGGGUACCCCUGGGGUAGGGGUGAAAUCCUGUAAUCCCAGGGGGACCGCCAGUGGCGAAGGCGCCCCGCUGGAACGGGUCCGACGGUGAGGGACGAAGGCCAGGGGAGCAAACCGGAUUAGAUACCCGGGUAGUCCUGGCUGUAAAGGAUGCGGGCUAGGUGUCGGGUGAGCUUCGGGCUCGCCCGGUGCCGUAGGGAAGCCGUUAAGCCCGCCGCCUGGGGAGUACGGCCGCAAGGCUGAAACUUAAAGGAAUUGGCGGGGGAGCACUACNAGGGGUGGAGCGUGCGGUUUNAUUGGAUUCAACGCCGGG
RNAcentral lists this ribosomal RNA (929 nucleotides) under archaeon enrichment culture clone PW32.5A. RNAcentral's name for it is "bacterial SSU rRNA". It matches the Rfam family "Archaeal small subunit ribosomal RNA", at positions 1 to 922 of the family's 1478-position model. The record is from RNAcentral.